RNAcentral lists this long non-coding RNA (5354 nucleotides) under Scophthalmus maximus (turbot). RNAcentral describes it as "lncRNA (ENSSMAG00000024828.1)". Lineage: Eukaryota; Metazoa; Chordata; Actinopteri; Pleuronectiformes; Scophthalmidae. The record is from RNAcentral.
AGAGUCUCAGCAGCACUUUGGUUCAGAGCCUUUGAAGGCGUUGGAGUUGAAGUUAGUUGGUCACACACUCUCCUGCAACUCCUGCUGCGUGUGUGUGAAUGUGUGUGUUCACCGUUUCUUUUCCUGUGUUUCCACGGACUUCCCACCGGGGCCACACUAUGGGAGGACACCGGCUGUCGGCGUCCCGUCAGAGGAUUCUUAAAGUUCCUGAAGCGUGAGCGGGACAAACGGGCAGGAAUUCCUGGAAGAGUCACCCAACUCGACCUCAGUUUCUGCCCGGGGCGUGUGCGAGGCAGGGAGGUGAAGAGCGGCGGUGGAGGCGCAUGUCAACACACGCAGCUCUGCUCGGCCCCCUCCCUUCUCUUUCUUCUCUAUUCACAUUCAUUCCGUGUCGGAAUGAAAGAAAUUGCUCAAUCACCGUGCACAAUCUUGUGAUUUGAGUUGUGUCACUGUUUUUUGGGGGGAAAUGACUCUUGUGGGGGGGUAUAAAGAGGUUGACCCACUUCACCUCUUUAUAGAAAAAAAAAGGUGACUUUCCAUAAUGGAAACAUCAACUUGGUGCAGAAAGAAGCUCUCAGACCCUCGUUUGACCUGAGAAGUCUGGACGAUGGUUCAUUUUAAAAAAGGAUAUCGUCAAAAAAUAAUUGGUUUUAUUUUCGUGACUCUGGAGGAAUUCAGCAUCUCUGGAUAAGGGCGGCGUAAUUAACUCAAGAAGGAUUAAAGACUUAGUUUAGUUUUCCCAUUAAGAAGUUUCUGUGGCUCGUGCAGAUCGUUUUCAUCUUUCAUCUUUUUAUUCGUCAGAAUAUUCUGAUGGUUGAUUUGACAGAAGACACGUUGCUUCAGAGACACGGAGAUGAAGUGUCGCUGGAGGGAGGAAGGGAAGUGGCCUCCAUGCAGGACAGAGGGAUGGGGGGGGUUGUGUGACCCUCCCUGUGAUUAUAGUGUUUGCUGUGAGGCCUGAGUGACCGUGUGUGUGUGUGUGUGUGUGUGUGUGUGUGUGUGUGUGUGUGUGUGUGUGUGUGUGUGUGUGUGUGCGUGUGUGUGUUUGAGUGUGUGUGAGAGUGUGUGUGUGUGUGUGAGAGUGUGUGUGUGUGUGUGUGUGUGUGUGUGUGUGUGUGUGUGUGUGUGUGUGUGUGUGUUUGGUGUGUGUGUGUGUGUGUGUGUGUGUGUGUGUGUGUGUGUGUGUGUGUGUGUGUGUGUGUGUGUGUGUGUGAGAGUGUGUGUGUGUGUGUGCCGAGGGGCCCCCGACCCUUCACACGACAUGAGGUUACCCUGCACAGAGGCUGGUACAGUAAAAAUUGGUGUAAUAUGGUUUAAUAUGCAGCAGUUUAAACCGUUAAUUGGCCUCAAUGCUCUUAUUCUUUACACAAGAGAAAAGACUUUUUAGGUUUUAUUGUCGCCGUCUUGCCUCAAAUGACUCUUUAAGUCUCACACAGACGAUUAACGAGCGUCUGCUGUCGCGCUCCGCCACCACGAGAAAAGAAACUUUCACAGAUGCUCCGGCUGUAAACGUUUCUCCGACUGUUGAGUGAGAGAAGAAAUGAUCCUGUCUGUCUUUGAAAAACUCAAUAUUGAAGUCGUGGGCGUGUCAUGUGGUGGUUGUGAGGGGGGAGGGGGAGGGGCUAAUGAGACGAGAGGGAACAGCUGACACCCAUUAGUCAACUUUCUUUUUUUAUUAUUAUUGGUGACCCGACAGUUAGAGUUUUUCACCCCGGGGCCACUUUGCGCCACAGAUGGUUGAACACACACACACACACACACACACACACACACACACACACACACACACACACACACACACAGAAUGUGUUACUGUAGAGCAGCAGCAUGGGAGGAAUGUGUGUAGUUCAUCAUAACACCUCGUACAGUCAAAGUGAUUAAAUACUCUGUGUGGGCUUUGGUUAUAUGCCAGUUUAUACUUUGAUUUGAUUUGCAUUUUUCUUCCUAUGGAGAUUGACUUAAGAAUUUGUACAUAUAAUCCAUGUGAGUGGAUUUUCGUGGAUGGUAGUCUGAAUGUGAGUUUUUCUCACAUUCAGAUUUGAAUAUUAGUUCAAAGUGGAAACUUUGGAAUGUGAUGACGCUCACACGUUCACUUCCUGACUUGCGGCCCGUGACCUCGGAGCUGCUCGGAGCUCCGUCGUCCUGACGGGGUUCAUCACCUCCGCUCAGAUAUAACCACACGAGCCUCCAGUUCAAGGCCUGCGCGUCCCGGGCCUCAUGCCGUGUGGGUGUGAGGGAGGCGCGAGGUCGGAGGGCGCGCACCUUCCCGACCCGUGAACCCUCCCAGACUCUGGGGGUCGGGGGGGUGAGCAUCGUAACCCCCCCCUCACACAAGCCCUGUUGUUGCUCCGAUCUGAAUGUGAAAGUUUCAGCGGACGACGUUUAGUUUAGAUUCCUUUAAAGUUUGGAAGAACAGUUUGAAAAUAAUGUCUUUUAAAAUGCUAGAAAACGAUGCCCUGCGAAUAAUAACGGAAUGAUUUUCACCCCCAACCCGGGAGCACAGAGGGUCAAAGGUCAGCGUCAUAGAGCGCCAACAACAGUUGGAGCAGGAAACAGUCAUAAAGAUGAAGAGCAGAUCAGUUUCUCUCCCCAUAAAUGAGAGCAGGUCGGAUUAGGGAGCGGAGAACGACGGAGUCUGGUCGCGGCUUAUCAGGUACUACUUCCCCUGACCCCUCCCCCCCGACCCCCUGACCCCUCCACCGCCUCGUUUUAAUUGGUCCGUGGCUGCGGCCUCACGUAACCAGGGGGACGUGAGACUUUUCAUUCUGAUUUGAAUGUGUUUUUUUCCGUGGUUCGUGUCACAGGUUGAACACGACGCGACAGAAUAUCAAUCCUCUCCGCCGGUGGCCGCCGCUGCCGGCGGGGUGAACAAAGCAGUGAUUGACAGCUCGCUCCGUCUUGUACAUAUUUACACGGGGCAGAAUAACUCCCUUUAUUUUAUGAAAGAUCUACUCAAGCGAAAACAUGAAACUUUUUUAAUUUCAUGAAUCGAGAUCGAUUCUGUAAACUGAACGGCAGCGGUGACUUUCAGGCUCUUGCAUCACUUGAAACAUGGGAAACGUGACUUGCCGUCAGACUGUCUGACCUUGGUGAAGGUCGCUGCCUGAUUGAACAGACGGAGAAAAAGGAAAAAAACACUGCGAGAGGCGUCUUUUUUAUUUAAAUGUAGUUAACUGGAAGCCGGAUGACGAAAUGAAAGUGUCACCUCACUGGAGGAGCGUGUUUGUUCUUCUGAAGCCAGCAGAUGGUGCGUGUGGUGCACGGAAGCUGAGCGAGGGGAUGGAAGUGGAGCGGUCGUCCAAACCGCCGCUCGGGCUCCGAUGGAGAGCGUCGCUCGCAUAGUGAGUUAUUGCGGCUGGAGAUAAAGUUGCUGACGGUGCAGCGGCUGCAGGAAACCAGAGCCGCCAAAGUUGCAAGUGGAGCAACCGGGGAGUUUGCCAGCGGUCGUCUCUCGGUGUUCAUCCUCAAAUCGAUCCACGAAUAAAUUGGAGUUGCAAAGUUCACUGUGCAGCUGCAAAGGGAGCAUGGAUAGUUGCUCCGUGCGAUGAGUCGUCUCCAGGUCACGUGAUCGUCUACGAAUACAAAUCAAUAAGGCUCGGAGAAUUAUCAGUGGACGGUUCCCAGAUCUGAUUCUCAUCAAGUUUUAUAUAUAUAUAUAUAUAUAUAUUAAAAGAAUGUCCUCCAAAAAUAUGCGUCCAUAAAUACUUUGUAGUUGACUUUGCUUUCCCGCAGCAUCAUAUAUUUACAGUUAAUCCCCCUCAAAGAAACGACACCGGGACAUCAAGAGCUCCGUUGUGCCGAGGAGAAACAAUUUGUUCUGCGAUUUGGAAUAAAGCGUUGCAGUUAUAUUCCGUGGGGAUUAGUGGGGAUUAGAGCGAAGCCACCAGGCUCUUCCACACAAAGUGUUAAUCAUCCAAUCAUCCCUUCUCUAUCAUCACGACGACUCAGCCCUUUUUCUUUCCGUAAACUUCUCCGUUUCUUCGUUCCAGCGGGUUUGGUACGAACUCGCCUGAUUGUUUUUCCCCGACACCCGGAGAGCGUCACGUCUCACAACCUUUGGCUGCUGUGAAAUAAACCUGGUCCGAGCACUUCACUGUCAAAUUUGACGUUUUCCUUCUAUUUUUCCGGGGAGCGAGACGCCGCUUUGUUGCUUUGUUGUCGACGGCUCGCGGGUUGUUCCUUUUCACCGAGGGACACGAGUGGCGCGGCGGGCGCCUCGUGUCCGACCGUACCGAGCUACAAACUGCGCUUGUUGAUGAGGGAAUUGAACGCUGAAAUUAUGCAAAUGAGAAAAAGCGCCUGGAAGUAAGUUUUGGUUUCACGAGGAUGAUGAAACGUGUUGAAUAAUAUGAUGAACAAUUCACUGUAACUCGCUUCUUCAUCAUUUCGUAGCACGUUAACAUCGCCAUCGUUAUUAACGCGUUUUAAUACUGCAAGUAGCUUUUUGUUGAAAGCAACACAGGAUACAGGAGAAUGAAGCUGAUAUUCUUCAUUAUGAAAGGAGGUUGAACAAAUACACAUUUAUUAAACGUAAAACUCAUUUCUAGACGAGUUUGAAAGCAGACAUUUUCCUGAUGUUGAAGUUGAAGUGAGUCACGUUCACAACAGCAGGAACAUCUGCGGAACAUUCAGGUUGUGGUUUCCCUCUUUGGGGGGGUGCAUUUUACUUUGGGGGGUAAUUCAAGUUACUGCAAAUAUGUUUAUGUGAGAAAAAAAAGAAGCUUUGACUCAUAAUUAAAUCUGCAUUUGAAUUUACACAAAGCGUCUUCAGGACUUCUUUGAAACGCCCACGUCCGCACUUCGCACCUCGACCUGAUCCCUCGCGGAUUAUGUUUCUCCUGAAUCCCGGCAGCGCUCUCGUCUCUCUUCUCUCCUUUAUUUGGGAGGAUGUGGGCGUAAUCACCUCACAAAAACCAGGAAACGGGGGUCGACGGGAUGAAAGGGGGGGCAGCUGGAAUAAUGUGGUCUAGUUUUCAGUGACAAAAGGAGAAGAAGAAGAAAACCUAGAAAUCCUUUAAUUCCCAUACAAGACCACUUUCUCCCAUUAGUCUCCUGCACCACAGUUUACAGGUGAAGAAGCUUUGUGCAAACAUACGGAGAUAAUAAUCACCUGUACGCCACCGGGCCUGCGAGGCCUGCGAGACGCUACGAGACGCUAUGAGACGCUGCGAGGCCUGCGAGGCCUGCGAGACGCUAUGAGAGGCCUGCGAGCGCUACGAGGCGCUGCGAGCGCUGCGAGAGGCUGCGAGACGCUGCGGAGGCCUGCGAGGCCUGCGAGCCGCUACGAGCGCUGCGAGCGCUGCGAGGCCUACGAGACGCUGCGAGGCCUACGAGACGCUGCGAGGCCCUACGAG